GUCUAUGGCCAUGCCACCCUGAACAAGCCCGAUCCUGUCUGAUCUUGGAAGCUAAGCAGGGUCGAGCCUGGUUAGUACUUGAAUGGGAGACCACCUAGGAAGACCAGGUGCUGUAGGUG
RNAcentral lists this ribosomal RNA (119 nucleotides) under Pteropus alecto (black flying fox). Lineage: Eukaryota; Metazoa; Chordata; Mammalia; Chiroptera; Pteropodidae. The record is from RNAcentral.